GAUGAACGCUGGCGGCGUGCCUAAUACAUGCAAGUCGAGCGAACAGACGAGGAGCUUGCUCCUCUGACGUUAGCGGCGGACGGGUGAGUAACACGUGGAUAACCUACCUAUAAGACUGGGAUAACUUCGGGAAACCGGAGCUAAUACCGGAUAACAUGUUGAACCGCAUGGUUCAACAGUGAAAGACGGUCUUGCUGUCACUUAUAGAUGGAUCCGCGCCGCAUUAGCUAGUUGGUAAGGUAACGGCUUACCAAGGCAACGAUGCGUAGCCGACCUGAGAAGGUGAUCGGCCACACUGGAACUGAGACACGGUCCAGACUCCUACGGGAGGCAGCAGUAGGGAAUCUUCCGCAAUGGGCGAAAGCCUGACGGAGCAACGCCGCGUGAGUGAAGAAGGUCUUCGGAUCGUAAAACUCUGUUAUUAGGGAAGAACAAAUGUGUAAGUAACUAUGCACGUCUUGACGGUACCUAAUCAGAAAGCCACGGCUAACUACGUG
This 497-nucleotide ribosomal RNA is filed under the name uncultured bacterium. RNAcentral's name for it is "partial 16S ribosomal RNA". It matches the Rfam family "Bacterial small subunit ribosomal RNA", at positions 28 to 507 of the family's 1533-position model. The record is from RNAcentral.